This 500-nucleotide ribosomal RNA is filed under the name uncultured bacterium. RNAcentral describes it as "partial 16S ribosomal RNA". It matches the Rfam family "Bacterial small subunit ribosomal RNA", at positions 28 to 507 of the family's 1533-position model. The record is from RNAcentral.
GACGAACGCUGGCGGCGUGCCUAAUACAUGCAAGUCGUGCGGACCUUGUUGAAAGCUUGCUUUUAAAAGGUUAGCGGCGGACGGGUGAGUAACACGUGGGCAACCUGCCUGUAAGACUGGGAUAACGCCGGGAAACCGGGGCUAAUACCAGAUCGUUUUUUCCUCCGCAUGGAGGAAAAAGGAAAGGCGGCUUCGGCUGCCACUUACAGAUGGGCCCGCGGCGCAUUAGCUAGUUGGCGGGGUAAUGGCCCACCAAGGCAACGACGCGUAGCCGACCUGAGAGGGUGAUCGGCCACAUUGGGACUGAGACACGGCCCAAACUCCUACGGGAGGCAGCAGUAGGGAAUCUUCCGCAAUGGACGAAAGUCUGACGGAGCAACGCCGCGUGAGUGAAGAAGGCCUUCGGGUCGUAAAACUCUGUUGCCGGGGAAGAACAAGUGCCGUUCGAACAGGGCGGCGCCUUGACGGUACCCGGCCAGAAAGCCACGGCUAACUACGUG